UUCAGACUUCCAAGAAAAUCCGCUAAGCAUAUUUUGCAGCUGCCCGUACCGCAAACCGACACAGGUAGUCGAGAAGAAUAUUCUAAGGUGCUCGAGAGAUUCAUGGCUAAGGAACUCGGCAAAAUAAACCUGUAACUUCGGGAGAAGGGUUGCCUCCUCUAGCAAUAGAGAGGUCGCAGAGAAAUGGCCCAGGCGACUGUUUAACAAAAACACAUGGCUAUGCGAAAUCGCAAGAUGAAGUAUAUGGCCUGACACCUGCCCGGUGCUGGAAGGUUAAGGGGGGAAGUUAGCAGCAAUGCGACUCUUUGAACUGAAGCCCCAGUAAACGGCGGCCGUAACUAUAACGGUCCUAAGGUAGCGAAAUUCCUUGUCGGGUAAGUUCCGACCUGCACGAAUGGUGUAACGAUCUGGGCGCUGUCUCAGCCAUGAGCUCGGUGAAAUUGUAGUAACGGUGAAGAUGCCGUUUACCCGUCACGGGACGGAAAGACCCCAUGAACCUUUACUAUAGCUUCACAUUGAUAUUGGGAAGAUGAUGUGUAGGAUAGGCGGGAGGCAAUGAUCUGGUGGCGCUAGCUAUCAGGGAGUCAACGGUGAAAUACCGCCCUUUAUUUUUCCGAUAUCUAACCACCGCAAGGUGGGACAUUGUGUGGUGGGUAGUUUGACUGGGGUGGUCGCCUCCGAAAGUGUAUCGGAGGCUUUCAAAGGUAUGCUCAGUACGCUUGGUAACCGUACGUGGAGUGCAUUAGCAUAAGCAUGCUUGACUGUGAGACAGACAAGUCGAUCAGGCGCGAAAGCGGGAUAAAGUGAUCCGGUGGUUCUGCAUGGAAGGGCCAUCGCUCAAAGGAUAAAAGGUACUCUGGGAUAACAGGCUGAUCUCCCCCAAGAGCUCAUAUCGACGGGGAGGUUUGGCACCUCGAUGUCGGCACGUCACAUCCUGGGGCUGGAGAAGGUCCCAAGGGUUGGGCUGUUCGCCCAUUAAAGUGGCACGCGAGCUGGGUUCAGAACGUCGUGAGACAGUUCGGUCCCUAUCUGUGAUGGGCGCAGGAAGUUUGAGAGGCUCUGACCUUAGUACGAGAGGACCGGGUUGGAGCAACCGCUGGUGUACCGGUUGUCAUGUCAGUGGCACUGCCGGGUAGCUAUGUUGCGACGGAAUAAGCGCCGAAAGCAUCUAAGCGCGAAAUCCACCUCGAGAUGAGACUUCCUUAUAAGGGCCGUCGUAGUCUACGACGUUGAUAGGCUGCAGGUGUAAAGUCAGAAAUGGCAAAGCCGAGCAGUACUAAUUACCCAG
This 1288-nucleotide ribosomal RNA is filed under the name metagenome. RNAcentral's name for it is "bacterial LSU rRNA". It matches the Rfam family "Bacterial large subunit ribosomal RNA", at positions 1599 to 2912 of the family's 2925-position model. The record is from RNAcentral.